ACCUUUCCCUCUCUCAGUGACCAAGAUCACUCACUUCACUUUGUGUGAAGAGGGGAGCAGGAGGUUUGUGUGUGAAGUAUCGGCGAGAGUGCAGGAGGGUGUGGGAAAGAGAUGGAAGGACGCCUAAUAUGAAGACAAUUCCAGUGCGUCGUGACAAUUUGUCAAAGGGGGGUUUUCUGCUUGGGGAAAUUCGACAAGGAGUUGUUGGGAAUAAACAAACACUGUAAAUGAACAGGACGUCAGAACAGAACCAAUGGGAACAAUCUGUCGUCAUUGCUGACAUGUCGGAGAUGUUUCACUGGAGAAUCGACUGAAAAAAUUCGGAGGACAAAGUCUUUUGGUCUUCUCACAGUAUCUGAGCUUGCACUUUGAUUUGUCAGUUUUAUUUCUACUUCGGAUAUCUGAGUGUGAUCAGCAGAGUGAACUAAAGUGUGGACAAACACGCACACAAAAAACACACACAGACAGAGACAUGAGCGGGGACAACUCCACCAGCCUUGGCUCCGUGCUCUACGCUGAGCCAUGCAACGGCUUCACCAACAACACGGAGGGCGCCCUCUACCAGCUGGGCAACACAGUGCUCAUCCUGGGCUACAUGGGGGGCAGCACUGCAUACGGCGCCCUCUACAUCUUCAGCCUGCUGGUGCCGGCGCAUGUCUGCCUUUCACUCUGGGGCUUCCUGACCGUCUGUGGCCUGGACGUGUUUGUGUGGAACAUCCUGCUGGUGGUGGCGUGCCUCUGCCAGAUCAUCCACUUGGUGGUGCGGCUACUGCGCGACGGCCUGGGCAGAGAGGAGCUGGCGGCGCUCUACCAGACCGUGUACAUGCCGCUCGGUGUGCCCGUGCAGGUGUUUAAGGAGAUCACGGCCGCCUGCGAGAACAAAGUGUUGGCGCUGGCUGCCGAGGAGACCUACGCUGUCGAGGGCAAGACGCCCAUCGACCAGCUUUCCUUCCUGCUCACAGGGAGGAUCCGUGUGUCACUAGAAGGUCAGUUCCUGCACUACAUCUUCCCCCACCAGUUUCUGGACUCGCCCGAAUGGGAGUCACUGAGGCCGACUGAGGAGGGGAACUUUCAGGUGACCUUGACGGCGGAGGAGGACUGCCGCUACAUCUCGUGGCGCCGGCGGCGCCUGUACCUGCUGCUGUCGCGGGAGCGCUACGUGGCGCGCCUCUUCUCCGUCAUGCUGGGCAACGACAUCGCCGAUAAGCUCUACUCGCUAAACGACAAGCUCUUCGCCAAGUGCGGCGUGCGCCUUGACAUCCGCCUGCCCAGCCUCUACCACGUCCUCGCCCCCUCCACCCAGUCCAGCGAGGGUGGCGGCGGCAGCACCAGCUCGGCCCCGCCGGCCAGCGGUAGCCUCGGCGACCACGCUGUAGUGACCAUGGACCCCUUGCCCGACACUCAGAAGCCCAAGUUGGAGAGUGGCGCCCCGGCGCAGGGAGGAAGGGCGCCGGGUCCAUCCGCACGGCAGCUGUCCUGCCCAUCAGACACGGAGCUGCCCUCGGGUGAGGACUCCACCAGCCUGGUCCUGGAGGACUUUGCUGACAUUGCUGGCUCGCUAAUGGAUUAUGGGAGUGAAAGGGAUUAUUUGAAGUAGUGGGAGUUCUUUUUUUUGUUUUCUUUUUAUGUUCUUUUUGAGGGGGAGGUUGCUGGAUCUAACACACGAGGCCACUUCUUAGGGCUCAUAGAGAGACACUUCUGCAGUCCCACCCGUGCGCUACCAGAGGGGUCGGGCUCCCCUGGCCCCCACCGACACUCCCAAACUGUGACAGUGGGUUCACCCAGCACAUGGGCCGUACCAUGGCCCAGAUGGAGGCGGGGGGCUAAGUUCCACACAAUGCCCUCCGGUGGUAAUACUCUGUCUCUCUAUUUGCCUUUGCCCGAGUGACGUAGCCUCUUUUUACACUCGGUUUUAAAAUGAGUCUUGGUUGAUCGGAUCUUGGAGGACAGCGUUUAAUACAACUGUAAACAACCACAAGACUUACUGUCAUCUGAUCACUCAAACCACUUGCUAAAGGGACUAAGGACACAUUUGAACACAUAUCUUUUGUAGUAUAAACCCGUAUGUGUCCCUGACAAGGAGACCUCUAGCGGAAGUAAAGUAGUCAGUGAAAAAAUCUAAACACAAAUGGGCUGCCUGACACCUAGUCAUGGACACAGAUGUAAAUAGCGAUGGCUCUUAGUUGUCCACUUGUGAUCUGAUUACCCAAGAUGCAUUUUGACAGUGUAAACAGGGUCUUAUGUUCUGCUCCAAUAUUCUUUUUUGUCUGUCAUUCUAUGCUUUCCCCCAUUUCUGUCUCUCUUUUGCAAAGUUUCAGUCCAUGAUUCUAAUCUAAAACACUGUAAACUUCAGAAAAUGCACACCUCAUAAUCCUCCAGCUGUUUUGUUAUUUGUUUGUGCUCAAAAACAAACAAACAACUGGUGUCUAUGCACAGUCCAGAAAAAAAAUUGAACCAUUCCAGCCAAUCAACAGAAGUUAGGAGGUGUAAUUUGAUUGGCUGUUGAGCUCAAAUAUGUACAACCUUUCGUUGGAAUCGUGGACUGUUCCUUUAACUUGUUUUAUUUCUCUCUAUUCUUUUUCUCACUACUCCCUGAGAGGGAACUUUGGGUACCAAACCUCAAGACAAUGAUUAUGAAAGAAUCAUAAAGCCAUGGUAUGGUACAGGAUUUAUUCUGACGAUGACAAUUAAGACACAGACACAUACUUUCACUCUGUCUUCCUCACGUCAUUUAGACAUUUUGUUUUGUCUUUAGAUGUUAUGUUAAUAUGCAUAUGAUGAUUCCACAUUACUAAGUUCACACGUUUUAUGCUUGAAUGACAUAAGGAAUGGGAAGGGUUUGCUUGAUGUAAAUUGUGUCUAAACAAAUUAUGGAAUUAAGGGACUGUGAAUCACUUAGUAAAAACACAUUUGUUUUUGCAACA
Alosa alosa (allis shad) is the source of this 2924-nucleotide RNA transcript. It is a transcript of the gene named popeye domain containing 2, with no coding region annotated. Lineage: Eukaryota; Metazoa; Chordata; Actinopteri; Clupeiformes; Clupeidae. The record is from RefSeq and is a predicted model, not a curated record. The transcript is spliced from 4 exons.